RNAcentral lists this ribosomal RNA (531 nucleotides) under uncultured bacterium. Its description in RNAcentral is "bacterial SSU rRNA". It matches the Rfam family "Bacterial small subunit ribosomal RNA", at positions 776 to 1305 of the family's 1533-position model. The record is from RNAcentral.
AAAUAGAUACCCAGGUAGUCCAUGCCGUAAACGGUGGGCGCUAGGUGUGGGGUUCCUUCCACGGGCUCCGCGCCGUAGCUAACGCAUUAAGCGCCCCGCCUGGGGAGUACGGCCGCAAGGCUAAAAACUCAAAGAAAUUGACGGGGGCCCGCACAAGCGGCGGAGCAUGUGGAUUAAUUCGAUGCAACGCGAAGAACCUUACCUGGGCUUGACAUAUAGAGGAUCGCUACAGAGAUGUGGUUUCCCUUGUGGCUUCUAUACAGGUGGUGCAUGGUUGUCGUCAGCUCGUGUCGUGAGAUGUUGGGUUAAGUCCCGCAACGAGCGCAACCCUUGUCUUAUGUUGCCAGCACGUUAUGGUGGGGACUCGUGAGAGACUGCCGGGGUCAACUCGGAGGAAGGUGGGGAUGACGUCAAAUCAUCAUGCCCCUUAUGUCCAGGGCUUCACACAUGCUACAAUGGCCGGUACAGAGGGCUGCGAUGCCGUGAGGCGGAGCGAAUCUCUUAAAGCCGGUCUCAGUUCGGAUUGGGGUC